UGUUUCGGCAAGGGGGUCAUCCCGACUUACCAACCCGAUGCAAACUGCGAAUACCGGAGAAUGUUAUCACGGGAGACACACGGCGGGUGCUAACGUCCGUCGUGAAGAGGGAAACAACCCAGACCGCCAGCUAAGGUCCCAAAGUCAUGGUUAAGUGGGAAACGAUGUGGGAAGGCCCAGACAGCCAGGAUGUUGGCUUAGAAGCAGCCAUCAUUUAAAGAAAGCGUAAUAGCUCACUGGUCGAGUCGGCCUGCGCGGAAGAUGUAACGGGGCUAAACCAUGCACCGAAGCUGCGGCAGCGACGCUUAUGCGUUGUUGGGUAGGGGAGCGUUCUGUAAGCCUGUGAAGGUGUGCUGUGAGGCAUGCUGGAGGUAUCAGAAGUGCGAAUGCUGACAUAAGUAACGAUAAAGCGGGUGAAAAGCCCGCUCGCCGGAAGACCAAGGGUUCCUGUCCAACGUUAAUCGGGGCAGGGUGAGUCGACCCCUAAGGCGAGGCCGAAAGGCGUAGUCGAUGGGAAACAGGUUAAUAUUCCUGUACUUGGUGUUACUGCGAAGGGGGGACGGAGAAGGCUAUGUUGGCCGGGCGACGGUUGUCCCGGUUUAAGCGUGUAGGCUGGUUUUCCAGGCAAAUCCGGAAAAUCAAGGCUGAGGCGUGAUGACGAGGCACUACGGUGCUGAAGCAACAAAUGCCCUGCUUCCAGGAAAAGCCUCUAAGCAUCAGGUAACAUCAAAUCGUACCCCAAACCGACACAGGUGGUCAGGUAGAGAAUACCAAGGCGCUUGAGAGAACUCGGGUGAAGGAACUAGGCAAAAUGGUGCCGUAACUUCGGGAGAAGGCACGCUGAUAUGUAGGUGAAGCGACUUGCUCGUGGAGCUGAAAUCAGUCGAAGAUACCAGCUGGCUGCAACUGUUUAUUAAAAACACAGCACUGUGCAAACACGAAAGUGGACGUAUACGGUGUGACGCCUGCCCGGUGCCGGAAGGUUAAUUGAUGGGGUCAGCGCAAGCGAAGCUCUUGAUCGAAGCCCCGGUAAACGGCGGCCGUAACUAUAACGGUCCUAAGGUAGCGAAAUUCCUUGUCGGGUAAGUUCCGACCUGCACGAAUGGCGUAAUGAUGGCCAGGCUGUCUCCACCCGAGACUCAGUGAAAUUGAACUCGCUGUGAAGAUGCAGUGUACCCGCGGCAAGACGGAAAGACCCCGUGAACCUUUACUAUAGCUUGACACUGAACAUUGAGCCUUGAUGUGUAGGAUAGGUGGGAGGCUUAGAAGUGUGGACGCCAGUCUGCAUGGAGCCGACCUUGA
Molecule: ribosomal RNA, 1302 nt
Filed under: Escherichia coli
Lineage: Bacteria; Pseudomonadati; Pseudomonadota; Gammaproteobacteria; Enterobacterales; Enterobacteriaceae
Description: partial 23S ribosomal RNA
Rfam family: Bacterial large subunit ribosomal RNA
Source: RNAcentral